RNAcentral lists this ribosomal RNA (464 nucleotides) under uncultured bacterium. RNAcentral describes it as "partial 16S ribosomal RNA". It matches the Rfam family "Bacterial small subunit ribosomal RNA", at positions 339 to 795 of the family's 1533-position model. The record is from RNAcentral.
CUACGGGUGGCUGCAGUGGGGAAUAUUGCACAAUGGGCGCAAGCCUGAUGCAGCCAUGCCGCGUGUAUGAAGAAGGCCUUCGGGUUGUAAAGUACUUUCAGCGGGGAGGAAGGGAGUAAAGUUAAUACCUUUGCUCAUUGACGUUACCCGCAGAAGAAGCACCGGCUAACUCCGUGCCAGCAGCCGCGGUAAUACGGAGGGUGCAAGCGUUCAUCGGAAUUACUGGGCGUAAAGCGCACGCAGGCGGUUUGUUAAGUCAGAUGUGAAAUCCCCGGGCUCAACCUGGGAACUGCAUCUGAUACUGGCAAGCUUGAGUCUCGUAGAGGGAGGUAGAAUUCCAGGUGUGGCGGUGAAAUGCGUAGAGAUCUGGAGGAAUACCGGUGGCGAAGGCGGCCCCCUGGACGAAGACUGACGCUCAGGUGCGAAAGCGUGGGGAGCAAACAGGAUUAGAUACCCUAGUAGUC